RNAcentral lists this transfer RNA (69 nucleotides) under Sinotaia quadrata. RNAcentral describes it as "tRNA-Lys". It matches the Rfam family "tRNA". Rfam says of the family: Transfer RNA (tRNA) molecules are approximately 80 nucleotides in length. Lineage: Eukaryota; Metazoa; Mollusca; Gastropoda; Architaenioglossa; Viviparidae. The record is from RNAcentral.
CUUCAAAUAGCUUAGUUUUGAGCGUUAAAUUUUUAAUUUAAAAGAGAUAAAUAAACUUAUCUUUGAGGA